Schistosoma mansoni is the source of this 48-nucleotide non-coding RNA. NCBI's taxonomy places the organism in Eukaryota, Metazoa, Platyhelminthes, Trematoda, Strigeidida, Schistosomatidae. The record is from Rfam.
AUUCAGCUGACGAGUUCCAAAUAGGAAGAAACGCGUGUCAAACUGCAU